GGAAGCGACCUGCUUAUGAAUUGUCG
Molecule: small RNA, 26 nt
Filed under: Sinorhizobium meliloti 2011
Lineage: Bacteria; Pseudomonadati; Pseudomonadota; Alphaproteobacteria; Hyphomicrobiales; Rhizobiaceae
Description: putative ncRNA
Source: RNAcentral